GUGACGUAACGCACGUGCUAGGCGGCGCGUUUGAAAUGUGGACCUGGAUUUGUUUUAUUCACACGCGCGCGUUCAGAUCACACCGAGAGUUUCCUUACUGGACUUGAAAUCAUCAGCCUCCGGCUUUAAGGCACAUGUGUCAUUCUGGAUGUUAUGUAGGUGGAAUAUUUUGGAUAUGAUCAUCAUCAUCUUCCUACCUAGCAGAUGAAUGGAUUUCCAUUAACAGAUCUCUGGGAUUCCCAUCUUUAUCUGGGAGAGACUCGUUUAGGAAGACUUUAUGGUAAAUAUUCCCAUGUCUUGGGGUUUUUAUGCUGUUUGAAAAACAACACAUCAAAGAACUGAUACAGAGAUAACAAGCAUUUUAUUUAGAUUUUAUGUUUAAAUAAAAUUGUUAUUUUCAGCCCACGUGACUUCCCUGUGUGACAACUAGCCCCGGUCUCACUGCAUACUUCUGAUCUGACUCUGUGUUGUAAAGUCAUUUCAAUUCAAGUAUUUUGUAAUCGUUACUUUCACAUGAGCGAGUCAGUGUCCGCUUCUCAGAGAUGAGCUCAGCACUUUGAUGGGAAGUUUUAUGCUGUGUAUUUAUACUCUCUGAUUAAGAUUUACUUGUAAAAAUCAAGAAUUUAUUUUGAAUGCGCUGACUGUAUUUUAUUGUAAAGGUUUUCUAGGAACAUUUUUAUUAGAUGAUAGUAAAAAAUAAUGCAGGCAACUCAGCAAAAAAACUCUCAGAUUCAACUGCUUGAAAUUCCCAGCAGAUUUCUUCAUGUGUAUAUACAUAUUUGUAUUAUCAUAAAAAAAUUCAACAACUGAGACAUAAACAAGUAGAUAGACAUGUGACAAAUAGUUUCUACAUGACAAGAUGAUUUAUAACCUGAAUGAUUGCAGUAAAUGUUUGGUUAGUUGUGUGUUAAGCGUGACUCUGUCAUUUGAUUCUGUUGAGUGUCAUUUACCAUAAAACUAAACAACUUUAUCAUCUGUCUUUGUG
Misgurnus anguillicaudatus (oriental weatherfish) is the source of this 985-nucleotide non-coding RNA. The record is from RefSeq and is a predicted model, not a curated record. NCBI's taxonomy places the organism in Eukaryota, Metazoa, Chordata, Actinopteri, Cypriniformes, Cobitidae.